RNAcentral lists this ribosomal RNA (150 nucleotides) under Vibrio vulnificus. RNAcentral's name for it is "partial 16S ribosomal RNA". It matches the Rfam family "Bacterial small subunit ribosomal RNA", at positions 1 to 142 of the family's 1533-position model. Lineage: Bacteria; Pseudomonadati; Pseudomonadota; Gammaproteobacteria; Vibrionales; Vibrionaceae. The record is from RNAcentral.
UUUAAUUGAAGAGUUUGAUCAUGGCUCAGAUUGAACGCUGGCGGCAGGCCUAACACAUGCAAGUCGAGCGGCAGCACAGAGAAACUUGUUUCUCGGGUGGCGAGCGGCGGACGGGGGAGUAAUGCAUGGGAAAUUGCCCUGAGGGGGGGG